RNAcentral lists this ribosomal RNA (221 nucleotides) under uncultured bacterium. RNAcentral describes it as "partial 16S ribosomal RNA". It matches the Rfam family "Bacterial small subunit ribosomal RNA", at positions 28 to 247 of the family's 1533-position model. The record is from RNAcentral.
GACGAACGCUGGCGGCGUGCUUAACACAUGCAAGUCGAGCGGUAAGGCCCUUUCGGGGGUACGACGAGCGGCGAACGGGUGAGUAACACGUGGGUGACCUGCCCUCCAGCUCUGGGAUAAGCCUGGGAAACGUGGGUCUAAUACCGGAUAUGACUCCAUGACGCAUGUUGUGGGGUGGAAAGCCUUGUGCGGCUGAGGAUGGGCCCGCGGCCUAUCAGCUU